This 527-nucleotide ribosomal RNA is filed under the name uncultured bacterium. RNAcentral's name for it is "bacterial SSU rRNA". It matches the Rfam family "Bacterial small subunit ribosomal RNA", at positions 982 to 1509 of the family's 1533-position model. The record is from RNAcentral.
CGACAUCCAGAGAACUUAGCAGAGAUGCUUUGGUGCCUUCGGGAACUCUGAGACAGGUGCUGCAUGGCUGUCGUCAGCUCGUGUUGUGAAAUGUUGGGUUAAGUCCCGNAACGAGCGCAACCCUUAUCCUUUGUUGCCAGCGGUUCGGCCGGGAACUCAAAGGAGACUGCCGGUGAUAAACCGGAGGAAGGUGGGGAUGACGUCAAGUCAUCAUGGCCCUUACGGCCAGGGCUACACACGUGCUACAAUGGCGCAUACAAAGAGAAGCGACCUCGCGAGAGCAAGCGGACCUCAUAAAGUGCGUCGUAGUCCGGAUUGGAGUCUGCAACUCGACUCCAUGAAGUCGGAAUCGCUAGUAAUCGUAGAUCAGAAUGCUACGGUGAAUACGUUCCCGGGCCUUGUACACACCGCCCGUCACACCAUGGGAGUGGGUUGCAAAAGAAGUAGGUAGCUUAACCUUCGGGAGGGCGCUUACCACUUUGUGAUUCAUGACUGGGGUGAAGUCGUAACAAGGUAGGCGUAGUGCU